This 775-nucleotide ribosomal RNA is filed under the name uncultured Neocallimastigales. RNAcentral's name for it is "partial large subunit ribosomal RNA". It matches the Rfam family "Eukaryotic large subunit ribosomal RNA", at positions 24 to 635 of the family's 3401-position model. The record is from RNAcentral. Lineage: Eukaryota; Fungi; Neocallimastigomycota; Neocallimastigomycetes; Neocallimastigales.
UAUCUCUGUAGAGUCUGCAUAUCAAUAAGCGGAGGAAAAGAAACUAACUAGGAUUCCCUCAGUAACGGCGAGUGAAGCGGGAAGAGCUCAAAUUUGAAAUCUUCAAGGUUCUACCUUGACGAAUUGUAGUUUAAAGAAGUGUUUUCUGUUGGAGUUUUGGUAAAAGUUCUUUGGAAUAGGACAUCAUAGAGGGUGAGAAUCCCGUAUUUGACCAUUAUUUCCAGCUGUGUGAUACACUUUCAAAGAGUCGGAUUGUUUGGGAAUGCAGUCCAAAAUGGGUGGUAAAUUUCAUCUAAAGCUAAAUAUUGGCGAGAGACCGAUAGCGAACAAGUACCGUGAGGGAAAGAUGAAAAGAACUUUGAAAAGAGAGUUAAACAGUACGUGAAAUUGUCAAAAGGGAAGCGUUUGACACCAGUGUUGUUUUCUCGAAAAUCAAUUAAAAAAGGCAGGAUUUUGUGUUGUAUUGACUUUAUCAGCUUUCUGCACUCUUUUCUUGUCUUUUUUUAAUGCACUUUUCGUUUAACAAGUCAACAUCAAUUUCUUUUGUUGUAAAAGGGUCAUUGGAAGGUGGCUUUCUUUUCGGAGAAAGUGUUUAUAGCCUUUGGCCUCUGCAAUCGGAGAGAUUGAGGUCUGCAGCGUAGAUCCUUCGGGGUUAGAUACAUUUGUGCUAAGUUAUAGCCUUUCAUAGACAACUUGUUGACUAUGAUCAGUCAUGUAGCUUACUCGCUUAUGCUAUUUUACCUACGCUUAGGAUGUUGAAGAUGUAGCACAUCAU